Molecule: ribosomal RNA, 260 nt
Filed under: uncultured bacterium
Lineage: Bacteria
Description: partial 16S ribosomal RNA
Rfam family: Bacterial small subunit ribosomal RNA
Source: RNAcentral
UACGAGGGGGGGCAAGCGUUUGUUCGGAAUUAUUGGGCGUAAAGGGUGCGUAGGCGGUUUGGUAAGUCUUAUGUGAAAUCUACAGGCUCAACUUGUAGUCUGCAUGAGAAACUGCCGGGCUUGAGUAUGGGGAGAGGUGAGUGGAAUUCCUGGUGUAGCGGUGAAAAUGCGUAGAUAUCAGGAGGAACACCUGUGGCGAAAAGCGGCUCACUGGACCAUAACUGACGCUGAUGCACGAAAAGCUAGGGGGAGCAAACAGG